GCAGAGAUAGCCAAGAUUGGUCUACGGCGCCAGCCUGAGGCGCUGGUCUCAUAGGAGUUCAAGGGUUCGAAUCCCUUUCUCUGCA
Molecule: transfer RNA, 85 nt
Filed under: Promethearchaeota archaeon
Lineage: Archaea; Promethearchaeati; Promethearchaeota
Description: Candidatus Lokiarchaeota archaeon (microbial mat metagenome) tRNA-Leu
Rfam family: tRNA
About the family: Transfer RNA (tRNA) molecules are approximately 80 nucleotides in length. Their secondary structure includes four short double-helical elements and three loops (D, anti-codon, and T loops).
Source: RNAcentral